RNAcentral lists this ribosomal RNA (584 nucleotides) under uncultured bacterium. Its description in RNAcentral is "bacterial SSU rRNA". It matches the Rfam family "Bacterial small subunit ribosomal RNA", at positions 337 to 911 of the family's 1533-position model. The record is from RNAcentral.
UCCUACGGGAGGCAGCAGUAGGGAAUCUUCCGCAAUGGACGAAAGUCUGACGGAGCAACGCCGCGUGAGUGAUGAAGGCUUUCGGGUCGUAAAACUCUGUUGUUAGGGAAGAACAAGUGCUAGUUGAAUAAGCUGGCACCUUGACGGUACCUAACCAGAAAGCCACGGCUAACUACGUGCCAGCAGCCGCGGUAAUACGUAGGUGGCAAGCGUUAUCCGGAAUUAUUGGGCGUAAAGUGCGCGCAGGUGGUUUCUUAAGUCUGAUGUGAAAGCCCACGGCUCAACCGUGGAGGGUCAUUGGAAACUGGGAGACUUGAGUGCAGAAGAGGAAAGUGGAAUUCCAUGUGUAGCGGUGAAAUGCGUAGAGAUAUGGAGGAACACCAGUGGCGAAGGCGACUUUCUGGUCUGUAACUGACACUGAGGCGCGAAAGCGUGGGGAGCAAACAGGAUUAGAUACCCUGGUAGUCCACGCCGUAAACGAUGAGUGCUAAGUGUUAGAGGGUUUCCGCCCUUUAGUGCUGAAGUUAACGCAUUAAGCACUCCGCCUGGGGAGUACGGCCGCAAGGCUGAAACUCAAAUGAAUU